This 1156-nucleotide long non-coding RNA is filed under the name Manacus vitellinus (golden-collared manakin). Its description in RNAcentral is "lncRNA (ENSMVIG00005004595.1)". The record is from RNAcentral. Lineage: Eukaryota; Metazoa; Chordata; Aves; Passeriformes; Pipridae.
GGAUCCCUGAGAGCUUCUCCAGCUCCCUCAGAAAUCCUGGGAAUCCCCACUUGGACACUCCAGUUCUCUCAGGAAUCCUGGGAACCCCAGGAAUCCCCACCUGGACACCCCAAUCCAGGGAAUGUCAGAAAUCCUGGGAAUCCCCACCUGGACACUCCAGCUCCCUCAGGAAUCCCAGGAAUCCCCACCUGGAGCCCCGAGAGCUCCUCCAGCUCCGCGAGCGCCGUGUCCGUGUCCCGGACCAGGAUCGUGGCCAUUCCCAACUCCCGCGCCGGCUCCAGGUUCUCCGGGACCUCAUCCAGCAGGAUGGCCUGGAACGACCGGGAUCAGCCCGGGAAUCCGGGGCCGGAAUGACCCCAACAAUCCCUUGGUUUUUUCGGGAAUUCCGGCGGCACCUCCCGCGGCUCCGCCCGCAGCUCUUCCAGGGCGCGGGAGUAGAUGCCGGGAUCCGGCUGCCCUGUCCCGAUCCGGCAGGAUUCCAGCACCAGGUGGAAGUGCCUCCGCGAAGCAGAUCGCAGGAGCCGGGCCCGGCGGAUCCGGCCCUCGCCGUCGUCCAGCCAGUGGUUGGCCAGGACACAGGUCCGGAAUCCUGGGAAAAGGCCGCGGUUCCCGCUCCGGAUCCGGUUGGAUUUUCCCGCCCGGCUCCCCCAAGUGGGUUUUUUUGGGGAUUCUCAUCCCAAAAUCCCGGGAUUCGGAGGUUCCGUGGGGAUGGGAGGGGGAAAGGGUUGGUGGAGGGGUUGGAAAUUCCGGGUUGGAGCUUCCCGAGGGAAGUGGGAUGGGAGGGGGAGUUUGGGAAUGCUGGGGGAGGGGUGAGUCGGGAAUUCCAAGCUGGAUCCAACCCAGGAAUCCCAAGGUGGACCCAACCAGGGAAUUCCAUGAUGGAACCAACCAGGACCUUCCUUGUGGUGGAUCCAGGGAAUUCCAACCCAGGAAUCCCAAGGUGGACCCAACCAGGGAAUUCCAUGAUGGAACCAACCGGGACCUUCCUUGUGGUGGAUUCAGGGAAUUCCAACCAGGGAAUCCCAAGGUGGGACCAGCCAGGGAAUUCCAUGAUGGAUCCAACCCAGGAAUCCCAAGGUGGAUCCAACCAGGGAAUUCCAUGAUGGGACCAACCAGGACAUUCCUUGUCCUGGAUCCAGGGAAUUCCAACCUGGGA